RNAcentral lists this ribosomal RNA (301 nucleotides) under uncultured bacterium. Its description in RNAcentral is "partial 16S ribosomal RNA". It matches the Rfam family "Bacterial small subunit ribosomal RNA", at positions 509 to 809 of the family's 1533-position model. The record is from RNAcentral.
CAGCAGCCGCGGUAAAACGGAGGGUGCAAGCGUUAAUCGGAAUUACUGGGCGUAAAGCGCACGCAGGCGGUCUGACAAGUCAGAUGUGAAAUCCCCGGGCUUAACCUGGGAACUGCAUUUGAAACUGUCAGGCUGGAGUCUUGUAGAGGGGGGUGGAAUUCCAGGUGUAGCGGUGAAAUGCGUAGAGAUCUGGAGGAAUACCGGUGGCGAAGGCGGCCCCCUGGACAAAGACUGACGCUCAGGUGCGAAAGCGUGGGGAGCAAACAGGAUUAGAUACCCGGGUAGUCCCUGUCUCUUAUAA